UAGAAACCCUUGUGAAUGUGAUCAAAGAGAGAGUGAGCAAUAUAGAUAUCUGUAGGUAUGGAGGAGAAUAGAGAAAUUCUCAUAUUCUCAAAAAAGAAGAGAAUCAAACAGCAGCACGAACAGAAAAGUUUGUGCUCACAGCGAAUCAGCGAAUUACCAGAUUUUCACAGUAUGACCCACCUUCAAAUUCCUAGAACAUUCAUGGAUGCAGCCAUAUGAGGUGGGAGCGUGCAACCAGUGGUACAGAUCUUAACCACUGCUUGCACGUUCACAUGCCCAAGAUAUCCCAAGAAGAUUGUCAGA
Long non-coding RNA from Quercus lobata, 303 nucleotides. RefSeq lists it as uncharacterized. The record is from RefSeq and is a predicted model, not a curated record. The transcript has 2 exons. NCBI's taxonomy places the organism in Eukaryota, Viridiplantae, Streptophyta, Magnoliopsida, Fagales, Fagaceae.